GUGCUCACUUUGGCAGCACCCACACUAAAAUUGGGACGCUACGCAGAAGGCCACCAUGGCCGAAGCACAAGGAUGACACAUGAAGGAGUGAAGCGUUCUGUAAUUUU
Small nuclear RNA from Callithrix jacchus (white-tufted-ear marmoset), 107 nucleotides. The record is from Ensembl. NCBI's taxonomy places the organism in Eukaryota, Metazoa, Chordata, Mammalia, Primates, Cebidae.